RNAcentral lists this ribosomal RNA (256 nucleotides) under uncultured bacterium. RNAcentral's name for it is "partial 16S ribosomal RNA". It matches the Rfam family "Bacterial small subunit ribosomal RNA", at positions 98 to 354 of the family's 1533-position model. The record is from RNAcentral.
CGGGACGGGUGAGUAACGCGUGGAGAACCUGCCGUAUACUGGGGGAUAACACUUAGAAAUAGGUGCUAAUACCGCAUAAGCGCACAGCUUCGCAUGAAGCAGUGUGAAAAACUCCGGUGGUAUACGAUGGAUCCGCGUCUGAUUAGCUUGUUGGCGGGGUAGGGGCCCACCAAGGCGACGAUCAGUAGCCGGCCUGAGAGGGUGGACGGCCACAUUGGGACUGAGACACGGCCCAAACUCCUACGGGAGGCAGCAG